AGUAACGCGUGAGGAGCCUGCCUCAAAGAGGGGGACAACAGUUGGAAACGACUGCUAAUACCGCAUAAGCCCACAGCUCGGCAUCGAGCAGAGGGAAAAGGAGUGAUCCGCUUUGAGAUGGCCUCGCGUCCGAUUAGCUAGUUGGUGAGGUAACGGCCCACCAAGGCGACGAUCGGUAGCCGGACUGGGAGGUUGAACGGCCACAUUGGGACUGAGACACGGCCCAG
RNAcentral lists this ribosomal RNA (227 nucleotides) under uncultured bacterium. Its description in RNAcentral is "partial 16S ribosomal RNA". It matches the Rfam family "Bacterial small subunit ribosomal RNA", at positions 109 to 334 of the family's 1533-position model. The record is from RNAcentral.